UACGUAGGUGGCAAGCGUUGUCCGGAUUUACUGGGCGUAAAGGAUGCGUAGGCGGACAUUUAAGUCAGAUGUGAAAUACCCGAGCUUAACUUGGGUGCUGCAUUUGAAACUGGGUGUCUAGAGUGCAGGAGAGGUAAGUGGAAUUCCUAGUGUAGCGGUGAAAUGCGUAGAGAUUAGGAGGAACACCCGAGGCGAAGGCGGCCCUCUGGCUCGACCCUGACGCUGAGGCGCGAAAGCGUGGGGAGCGAACGGG
RNAcentral lists this ribosomal RNA (253 nucleotides) under uncultured bacterium. Its description in RNAcentral is "partial 16S ribosomal RNA". It matches the Rfam family "Bacterial small subunit ribosomal RNA", at positions 524 to 776 of the family's 1533-position model. The record is from RNAcentral.